RNAcentral lists this ribosomal RNA (235 nucleotides) under uncultured bacterium. Its description in RNAcentral is "partial 16S ribosomal RNA". It matches the Rfam family "Bacterial small subunit ribosomal RNA", at positions 118 to 347 of the family's 1533-position model. The record is from RNAcentral.
UGAGUAACCUGCCCUUAACUCUGGGAUAAGCCUGGGAAACUGGGUCUAAUACCGGAUAUGACUCCUCAUCGCAUGGUGGGGGGUGGAAAGCUUUAUUGUGGUUUUGGAUGGACUCGCGGCCUAUCAGCUAGUUGGUGAGGUCAUGGCUCACCAAGGCGACGACGGGUAGCCGGCCUGAGAGGGUGACCGGCCACACUGGGACUGAGACACGGCCCAGACUCCGUACGGGGAGCAG